RNAcentral lists this long non-coding RNA (1163 nucleotides) under Homo sapiens (human). Its description in RNAcentral is "mir-99a-let-7c cluster host gene". Lineage: Eukaryota; Metazoa; Chordata; Mammalia; Primates; Hominidae. The record is from RNAcentral.
UCAGCAAAGUGCACAGCUGCAUAAUAGAGAAGCCGGCACUCAGAUUGACAGGCAAAUAAGCCAGCUUGUGGAAGGGGCCUCUGGGUGGCAGCUCUGGGCUUUUGGGUGUUGGACAACCAUAGGCAAAACUGAAAUGGAACAGGGGCAGAAAAUAGCACACUUUUACUCUACGCAACUGUUGCUUUUUCAUGGAGCUCUUUCUGAGAUGAAGAGAAUUCUCAAUGUCAAGAUUUGAACAAGAAGAGAAUGGAAUACACAAUAUGGACAUCCAUAAAAAUUCAUCAGAGAGCAUUUUACUACUGAGCUGCAAAGAUGACAAGAGCACCUCAAAGGCAGCAGCCUCAAGGAGCAGCCAUGGCCCCAGACUUGUCGCACGGAUGCAGAAAACUUAAUGGAGGAGGCUGAGGUCAGAAUGGGAAGAGUUUUUAAAAAAUAAAAAGGGGAGCUAAUAUGUGAGGAACUGAUUGCUGUGCAUUAUUUUCCACUGAACAGACCUUCUUUUAACUUCUAAUCUCAAGCACAUAGCAGCUGUUGUUUUCAUAUUAAAGAUCAGUAAGUGUUUGUUGAAUGAAUGUAUAAAUUCUUCCCCAAUCUCUGUUCCAUGUAAUAAGAACUAAGUUAGCAUUCAAUUAUAAAGAGGACUUAGAAAGUCUGCAGACAUUUUUGAUCAAAAAUCCUUUUAACUGUCUUCUUAUGGUUCCCGGUAACACCUAAGCCCAAAAAACUCAGGUCAUUUCUUGCCUGUACUGUUGCAAUAGCCUCAUAAUAACUAGUCUUCUCCUUUAUCAACCACAGUCGUCUCCGCUACACAAAGAAGAGAGGGUGCUAAUCUAAAGUGUAAAUUAUUUUAAAUCAGCACCCUUCUUGUAAUUUCCCAGUGGUUUUUCCUGUCAUAAGAAUAACAUGCAAAAUUCCUUGCUUGCAAAGCCAGGUAUGACCUUGCCCCGUCUACCUUACUGGCAUCGUCUCUCAUGACUCUUCCCCUUUUUCACUCUCCAUCUUGCCUUUUCCCAACCAUGCCUGCUAGUGAGCCUUAGCCCUUGUGUUUUCUCUGCCAGGGAUGCAUGACUGGCUUCUUUACUUUAUUCUGAUCUCUCUGCUCAAAUGUCAUCUUUUUAGAGAUAGCUUUCCUAAACAUCUUUAAAAGUACCCCAUGAACUGUG